Molecule: long non-coding RNA, 1053 nt
Filed under: Homo sapiens (human)
Lineage: Eukaryota; Metazoa; Chordata; Mammalia; Primates; Hominidae
Description: HSALNT0077996
Source: RNAcentral
GAAAAAGAUGGGAAUGUCCCUGGAUAUAGGCAGCUCCAGAGAGGGAGACAGUCUGUCCUUGAAUCAUUACUAUUAUCCCUGCACAAUUUUCUUGGAUUUGGAGAAAGCUAUAGGUAAUGCACAAGCGAACAAGGCGAGAACUGCAGUUCAUGAACGCUGGAACCAGCCAGUUGCUUCAGUGCCAGCAGGAGAGAACUCCACUCACUCAGAUCUGCUGCGUUCCUCCCCUUGCAGAAGUGAGCACUCAGGUGAGUGGGUACAGGAGCCGGGGAAAGUCCUUUUGGGUGCCAGCAGGAAAAAAUUCCAUGUGGGCCCCAUGGCAGCAUCUGGGGGCAUGGGGUGCCUGUGACCCUUGAAGUCCCAGAGGGCAUGUUACAGGGCUCUUUUAGCUUUGCCAUAGUGGAUGGCUUAAGUAUUAACAACUCAGUGGGGCUUCUGCCUUUUUGCAUGAGAUGGUUGCCUUCUGCCAGCGAGGUCAGAGGGGCAGUGUGACAGCCUUUUCUAUGCGCACUCAUGGCUCCCAAGCUCUUGUCUGGCAUCCAGGAAAAAUAAGGUUGAAUGAACGAAUGGAAGAAUGGUAAAUGAGUGGGGUUUUAUCACCAAUGAAAGUGGCUUUCAGUGGGAAGGGGAGCUGGAAAGGAGAUGUGGCUGGUAAGUAAUCCUCCUCUGAAGUUCACCCAUCUCCAGCUGGAUUCUUCUCUAAAGUUAUGCCAUCAAGCCAUCCCUCUUAAGUCAAGCUGCUUCUCUCCAAGGUCAAACUGUAGUCUCCAACAUCCUGCUGCUUCUGCUCUCUGCUGGCUGAGUCUGGGGUCUUUAUAGGCACAUGAUGGGGCAGGAUGGGGUCAUGAGUGGUUAGGAAAAGGCAACAUUUGAGCAGGAAAGCAGGGAUAUAAGUUUUCACUUUGGGCAGUGGUCUCAGGCUUUUUGGCUUGAAGGUGGGACUCCAACAGGGACCCUGCCUUUUCUGCCUAGAAUUUCUCUGCCUCCUGUCCCUAUCAAUAGUGUCUGGGAUCUGGGUCAAGCAAAAUAUAUCUUGAAAUGAUUAUUGUAAAA